UUAGGGAAGAGUGCCAGAUAACCAGACAGUCCUGUUCCCAGUGGGAAGUCAAUGGAAAAUAUCCACAACCGAAAAUCAAGAAAAAGGACAGGUCUCGGUUUUCUGAUCUGUAACUUGGGACUGAUACCACGGACGGGAUGGCUGGGAAAACGGAGUGCGAUGGUGCAUGUGGAAAACCUCGCUCUUACAAGGUCUGGAAACCAUGACUAACCCCCAAAUAAUGAGCAUCCCGACACCCAGACUGUGUUCUCUAAAUUGGAUUUCGAACUAAAAGGAACCAUGUCUUCUUGGAUAAAUGCGGAUUUCAAGGCUGGGACGGGAAAUAUCAAAGGGCAGCCUGGGACAUUCUGUGGGUCAGGCAGGCAAACAAGCUGUCAGAGACUGCAGGGCAUGUGUCAAAAAGAUCUAAGAACCCACUUGAAUGAGUCCCACUGGCCAAAGAGGAGAGAAUGUGAACAUUAUAGCAAUGAUGAUACAAUACCAUGUCAAAUAUAUUAAAAUCUGUGAGUUCAAAAU
Long non-coding RNA from Mustela erminea (ermine), 516 nucleotides. RefSeq lists it as uncharacterized. The record is from RefSeq and is a predicted model, not a curated record. Lineage: Eukaryota; Metazoa; Chordata; Mammalia; Carnivora; Mustelidae. The transcript has 3 exons.